CGCGUAGGCGGCUCGAUAAGGUUGCGGUGAAAGCCCGGGGCUCAACCCCGGGUCGGCCGUGGCAACUGUCGAGCUGGAGCACUGUAGAGGCAGGUGGAAUUCCGGGUGUAGCGGUGGAAUGCGUAGAGAUCCGGAAGAACACCGGUGGCGAAGGCGGCCUGCUGGGCAGUGGCUGACGCUGAGGCGCGACAGCGUGGGGAGCAAACAGGAUUAGAUACCCUGGUAGUCCACGCCGUAAACGAUGGGCACUAGGUGCUUGGGGGAGCGACCCUCCGAGUGCCGGCGCUAACGCAUUAAGUGCCCCGCCUGGGGAGUACGGCCGCAAGGCUGAA
This 332-nucleotide ribosomal RNA is filed under the name uncultured Gemmatimonas sp. Its description in RNAcentral is "bacterial SSU rRNA". It matches the Rfam family "Bacterial small subunit ribosomal RNA", at positions 568 to 898 of the family's 1533-position model. The record is from RNAcentral. Lineage: Bacteria; Pseudomonadati; Gemmatimonadota; Gemmatimonadia; Gemmatimonadales; Gemmatimonadaceae.